Molecule: unclassified non-coding RNA, 408 nt
Filed under: Hevea brasiliensis (rubber tree)
Lineage: Eukaryota; Viridiplantae; Streptophyta; Magnoliopsida; Malpighiales; Euphorbiaceae
Source: RNAcentral
CCAUUCCCAUUUGCUGUGGGGGAGGCCUUUGGAGGACUUGAGCUGCCUGGGGAGGUGGCAUGUUUGGAGGUGGUGGCCUGAAUUGCAUUGGAGGUGGAGGAAUACCUAGUGGCGCCAUCGUUUGACCUGGCUGUGGGGGCUGAGCCUGCCAAGCUGGUUGUCCAGCUACCUGCAUUGCAGGGAAGGCUGCAUUUGGUGGGGGUGGUGGGCGGAGUGCUGGAAUUGGAGCUGGAGCAACAGCACCAUUUGCAAAUGGGCGUGGAGGAACUGGUGCACCAACUGUACCAUUGGCUUGAGGCAUGCUUGGAAGAGUUGGAGGCCCACUGGCAAACAAAGUGUGCGGCCUGCUCUUUUGGGAACUCGGAUUGCUUGCAGCCAAAACUCUCUCUGCUGGGGUACCAUGGCGCU